RNAcentral lists this ribosomal RNA (464 nucleotides) under Prevotella melaninogenica. RNAcentral's name for it is "bacterial SSU rRNA". It matches the Rfam family "Bacterial small subunit ribosomal RNA", at positions 28 to 479 of the family's 1533-position model. Lineage: Bacteria; Pseudomonadati; Bacteroidota; Bacteroidia; Bacteroidales; Prevotellaceae. The record is from RNAcentral.
GAUGAACGCUAGCUACAGGCUUAACACAUGCAAGUCGAGGGGAAACGGCAUUGAGUGCUUGCACUCUUUGGACGUCGACCGGCGCACGGGUGAGUAACGCGUAUCCAACCUUCCCAUUACUGUGGGAUAACCUGCCGAAAGGCAGACUAAUACCGCAUAGUCUUCGAUGACGGCAUCAGAUUUGAAGUAAAGAUUUAUCGGUAAUGGAUGGGGAUGCGUCUGAUUAGCUUGUUGGCGGGGUAACGGCCCACCAAGGCAACGAUCAGUAGGGGUUCUGAGAGGAAGGUCCCCCACAUUGGAACUGAGACACGGUCCAAACUCCUACGGGAGGCAGCAGUGAGGAAUAUUGGUCAAUGGACGGAAGUCUGAACCAGCCAAGUAGCGUGCAGGAUGACGGCCCUAUGGGUUGUAAACUGCUUUUGUAUGGGGAUAAAGUUAGGGACGUGUCCCUAUUUGCAGGUACC